GACGAACGCUGGCGGCGUGCUUAACACAUGCAAGUCGAACGGAAAGGCCCUGCUUUUGUGGGGUGCUCGAGUGGCGAACGGGUGAGUAACACGUGAGUAACCUGCCCUUGACUUUGGGAUAACUUCAGGAAACUGGGGCUAAUACCGGAUAGGAGCUCCUGCUGCAUGGUGGGGGUUGGAAAGUUUCGGCGGUUGGGGAUGGACUCGCGGCUUAUCAGCUUGUUGGUGGGGUAGUGGCUUACCAAGGCUUUGACGGGUAGCCGGCCUGAGAGGGUGACCGGCCACAUUGGGAAUGAGAUACCGCCCCAACCUCUACCGGAGGGCAGAGGUGGGAAUAUUGGCACAUGGGCGGAAGCCUGAUGCAGCAACGGCGGGGGCGGGAUGAACGCCCUCGGGGUGGAAACCGCUUUCGCCUGUGACGAAGCGUGAGUGACGGUAAUGGGUAAAGAAGCACCGGCUAACUACGUG
This 468-nucleotide ribosomal RNA is filed under the name uncultured bacterium. RNAcentral's name for it is "partial 16S ribosomal RNA". It matches the Rfam family "Bacterial small subunit ribosomal RNA", at positions 28 to 507 of the family's 1533-position model. The record is from RNAcentral.